GGUUAAGUUAGAAAGGGCGCACGGUGGAUGCCUUGACACUAGGAGUCGAUGAAGGACGGGACUAACGCCGAUAUGCUUCGGGGAGCUGUAAGUAAGCUUUGAUCCGAAGAUUUCCGAAUGGGGAAACCCACCAUACGUAAUGGUAUGGUAUCCUUAUCUGAAUACAUAGGGUAAGGAAGACAGACCCAGGGAACUGAAACAUCUAAGUACCUGGAGGAAGAGAAAGCAAAUGCGAUUUCCUGAGUAGCGGCGAGCGAAACGGAACAUAGCCCAAACCAAGAGGCUUGCCUCUUGGGGUUGUAGGACAUUCUAUACGGAGUUACAAAGGAACGAGGUAGACGAAGCGACCUGGAAAGGUCCGUCGUAGAGGGUAACAACCCCGUAGUCGAAACUUCGUUCUCUCUUGAAUGUAUCCUGAGUACGGCGGAACACGUGAAAUUCCGUCGGAAUCUGGGAGGACCAUCUCCCAAGGCUAAAUACUCCCUAGUGAUCGAUAGUGAACCAGUACCGUGAGGGAAAGGUGAAAAGCACCCCGGAAGGGGAGUGAAAGAGAUCCUGAAACCGUGUGCCUACAAAUAGUCAGAGCCCGUUAACGGGUGAUGGCGUGCCUUUUGUAGAAUGAACCGGCGAGUUACGAUCCCGUGCGAGGUUAAGCUGAAGAGGCGGAGCCGCAGCGAAAGCGAGUCUGAAUAGGGCGUUUAGUACGUGGUCGUAGACCCGAAACCAGGUGAUCUACCCAUGUCCAGGGUGAAGUUCAGGUAACACUGAAUGGAGGCCCGAACCCACGCACGUUGAAAAGUGCGGGGAUGAGGUGUGGGUAGCGGAGAAAUUCCAAUCGAACCUGGAGAUAGCUGGUUCUCCCCGAAAUAGCUUUAGGGCUAGCCUUAAGUGUAAGAGUCUUGGAGGUAGAGCACUGAUUGGACUAGGGGUCCUCAUCGGAUUACCGAAUUCAGUCAAACUCCGAAUGCCAAUGACUUAUCCUUAGGAGUCAGACUGCGAGUGAUAAGAUCCGUAGUCAAAAGGGAAACAGCCCAGACCGCCAGCUAAGGUCCCAAAGUGUGUAUUAAGUGGAAAAGGAUGUGGAGUUGCUUAGACAACUAGGAUGUUGGCUUAGAAGCAGCCACCAUUUAAAGAGUGCGUAAUAGCUCACUAGUCGAGUGACUCUGCGCCGAAAAUGUACCGGGGCUAAAUACACCACCGAAGCUGCGGAUUGAUACCAAUGGUAUCAGUGGUAGGGGAGCGUUCUAAGGACAGUGAAGUCAGACCGGAAGGACUGGUGGAGUGCUUAGAAGUGAGAAUGCCGGUAUGAGUAGCGAAAGACGGGUGAGAAUCCCGUCCACCGAAUGCCUAAGGUUUCCUGAGGAAGGCUCGUCCGCUCAGGGUUAGUCAGGACCUAAGCCGAGGCCGACAGGCGUAGGCGAUGGACAACAGGUUGAUAUUCCUGUACCACCUCUUUAUCGUUUGAGCAAUGGAGGGACGCAGAAGGAUAGAAGAAGCGUGCGAUUGGUUGUGCACGUCCAAGCAGUUAGGCUGAUAA
Molecule: ribosomal RNA, 1537 nt
Filed under: Bacillus cereus
Lineage: Bacteria; Bacillati; Bacillota; Bacilli; Caryophanales; Bacillaceae
Also listed under: 2 other names
Description: partial 23S ribosomal RNA
Rfam family: Bacterial large subunit ribosomal RNA
Source: RNAcentral